RNAcentral lists this ribosomal RNA (460 nucleotides) under uncultured bacterium. Its description in RNAcentral is "partial 16S ribosomal RNA". It matches the Rfam family "Bacterial small subunit ribosomal RNA", at positions 338 to 795 of the family's 1533-position model. The record is from RNAcentral.
CCUACGGGGGGCAGCAGUGAGGAAUAUUGGUCAAUGGACGAGAGUCUGAACCAGCCAAGUAGCGUGAAGGAUGACUGCCCUAUGGGUUGUAAACUUCUUUUAUAUGGGAAUAAAACGUUCCACGUGUGGGAUUUUGUAUGUACCAUAUGAAUAAGGAUCGGCUAACUCCGUGCCAGCAGCCGCGGUAAUACGGAGGAUCCGAGCGUUAUCCGGAUUUAUUGGGUUUAAAGGGAGCGUAGGUGGAUUGUUAAGUCAGUUGUGAAAGUUUGCGGCUCAACCGUAAAAUUGCAGUUGAAACUGGCAGUCUUGAGUACAGUAGAGGUGGGCGGAAUUCGUGGUGUAGCGGUGAAAUGCUUAGAUAUCACGAAGAACUCCGAUUGCGAAGGCAGCUCACUGGACUGCAACUGACACUGAGGCUCGAAAGUGUGGGUAUCGAACAGGAUUAGAUACCCCAGUAGUC